Molecule: ribosomal RNA, 481 nt
Filed under: uncultured bacterium
Lineage: Bacteria
Description: partial 16S ribosomal RNA
Rfam family: Bacterial small subunit ribosomal RNA
Source: RNAcentral
GAUGAACGCUGGCGGCGUGCUUAACACAUGCAAGUCGAACGAAACACCUUAUUUGAUUUUCUUCGGAACUGAAGAUUUGGUGAUUGAGUGGCGGACGGGUGAGUAACGCGUGGGUAACCUGCCCUGUACAGGGGGAUAACAGUCAGAAAUGACUGCUAAUACCGCAUAAGACCACAGCACCGCAUGGUGCAGGGGUAAAAACUCCGGUGGUACAGGAUGGACCCGCGUCUGAUUAGCUGGUUGGUGAGGUAACGGCUCACCAAGGCGACGAUCAGUAGCCGGCUUGAGAGAGUGAACAGCCACAUUGGGACUGAGACACGGCCCAAACUCCUACGGGAGGCAGCAGUGGGGAAUAUUGCACAAUGGGGGAAACCCUGAUGCAGCGACGCCGCGUGAGUGAAGAAGUAUUUCGGUAUGUAAAGCUCUAUCAGCAGGGAAGAAAAUGACGGUACCUGACUAAGAAGCCCCGGCUAACUACGUG